CACGGGGGUUGCGAGCGUUGUCCGGAAUUACUAGGCGUAAAGGGCAGGCAGGCGGAUCCAUAAGUUUAUCGUUUAAGGCGUCGGCUUAACCGGCGUAGGGCGGUAGAUACUGUGGAUCUGGAAUGCGGUUGGGGAAGACAGAAUUCCUGGUGUAGCGGUGGAAUGCGCAGAGAUCAGGAGGAAUACCGAAGGCGAAGGCAGUCUUCCAAGCCGUUAUUGACGCUCAACUGCGAAGGUGUGGGUAUCAAACAGGAUUAGAUACCCUGGUAGUCACUGA
RNAcentral lists this ribosomal RNA (277 nucleotides) under uncultured prokaryote. RNAcentral describes it as "partial 16S ribosomal RNA". It matches the Rfam family "Bacterial small subunit ribosomal RNA", at positions 524 to 803 of the family's 1533-position model. The record is from RNAcentral.